UGGGGAAUCUUGCGCAGUGGGCGAAAGCCUGACGCAGCCAUGCCGCGUGAGUGAUGAAGGCCUUAGGGUUGUAAAACUCUUUCACCGGGGACGAUAAUGACGGUACCCGGAGAAGAAGCCCCGGCUAACUUCGUGCCAGCAGCCGCGGUAAUACGAAGGGGGCUAGCGUUGCUCGGAAUUACUGGGCGUAAAGGGCGCGUAGGCGGAUCAGCAAGUUGGGGUGAAAGCCCGGGGCUCAACCUCGGAAUUGCCUUCAAAACUGCUGAUCUAGAGUACGGGAGAGGUGUGUGGAACUCCGAGUGUAGAGGUGAAAUUCGUAGAUAUUCGGAAGAACACCAGUGGCGAAGGCGACACACUGGCCCGUUACUGACGCUGAGGCGCGAAAGCGUGGGGAGCAAACAGGUUAGANACCCUGGUAGUCCANGCUGUAAAACGNUGAUUGCUAGUUGUCGGCAGGCAUGCCUGUCGGUGACGCAGCUAACGCAUUAAGC
Molecule: ribosomal RNA, 491 nt
Filed under: uncultured bacterium
Lineage: Bacteria
Description: partial 16S ribosomal RNA
Rfam family: Bacterial small subunit ribosomal RNA
Source: RNAcentral